UGGACUUAGAAUAUGCUAUG
RNAcentral lists this small nuclear RNA (20 nucleotides) under Arabidopsis thaliana (thale cress). RNAcentral describes it as "snRNA_07325". The record is from RNAcentral. Lineage: Eukaryota; Viridiplantae; Streptophyta; Magnoliopsida; Brassicales; Brassicaceae.